GUCCACGCUGUAAACGGUGAGUGCUCGUCGUCGUGGGUAUUGACCCCUGCGGUGACCAAGUUAACACAUGAAGCACUCCGCCUGGGAAGUACGGUCGCAAGACUAAAACUCAAAGAAAUUGACGGGGGCCCGCACAAGCGGUGGAGCAUGUUGUUUAAUUCGAAGCAACGCGCAGAACCUUACCUGGAUUUGACAUCUCUGGAAUCCCUCUGAAAGGAGGGAGUGCCUUCGGGAGCCAGAAGACAGGUGCUGCAUGGCUGUCGU
This 264-nucleotide ribosomal RNA is filed under the name uncultured bacterium. Its description in RNAcentral is "partial 16S ribosomal RNA". It matches the Rfam family "Bacterial small subunit ribosomal RNA", at positions 793 to 1055 of the family's 1533-position model. The record is from RNAcentral.